This 960-nucleotide long non-coding RNA is filed under the name Mus spicilegus (steppe mouse). RNAcentral describes it as "lncRNA (ENSMSIG00000023422.1)". Lineage: Eukaryota; Metazoa; Chordata; Mammalia; Rodentia; Muridae. The record is from RNAcentral.
GUUAUUUUUAAAUGUGUGCCCUGUUUGACAUGUUUCACAAUUUGUGAUUUCUCAAUAACAAGAAUUGUACAACUAUUAGAAUUCUAGGCAAAUUCAGAAACAGGCACACCAACUGGGAAGAGUCAGGAGGGGCAAGGAGUGCUUUAAAGAUGAAGGGAAAUGGGGAGUUCUUAUUUAAAGGGUUCUAGUCCCAGUUUUAUAAGGCGUUAUUGAGACAGAGUUUAGGCUCAGUACAGUGGUGGGACAUCAAUCCCAGUACUGGGAUAUGUGUGGAGGAGGGCAGAGGCAGACAGAUCUCUGUGAAUUUAGGGCUGGUCAACGUAGAAUGUUCUAGGCUAGGCAUAACUCCUGAAUAAGACGCUGUUUCAAAAGAACAAAAAACAAACAAAAACAAACGUUACGUUUAGAAGCUGUGAUUUUUGGUGAUUAUCAGAGGAAUUUAUUAGACAUUUUUUUCUCUCAACGUUUUUGGCUUGGCGGAAUGUAGCCUGAUCAGUACAUCCAAGGGAAUAUAGUAAGUCAGCGAGGCAGACGUUUCCUGGUCUCCUGUCACGUCUUCUGGGUCUGCAGUAAAGAUGGACUGUCCGUUUCCUGUGUGGGUAACUCCUGCUGAGUCAGUUUAUCAGCAUGACAUCGCUGAAAAGUCCACAGCAGCAUGCGCUUCUACGCUCUCCAGAUACUCACCAUUGGUACUGCUUGUUCACUUCUGGGAAAUCUUAAGAAAACGCAGAAGCAUUGUCGAACUCAAAAGCGGAAGUCAAGGAUUUGAAAUGUGAUGGUACAUCCUGCUCCCCACCCCCCCCCCCCCCCCUAAAAGCAGCAGGAUUUGAAGUAACGUCUUCCUUACUCAUUGUAACUUCAUGUUUCCUUAAGUCUUAUUUUAAAAAUUGGUCUGCCAUUCAAGAUUAUGUUUCCAAGAUUAUUUUCCAGGCUUUAUUAAAGCUGCCAUAAAACAGCAGU